This 305-nucleotide ribosomal RNA is filed under the name uncultured bacterium. RNAcentral's name for it is "bacterial SSU rRNA". It matches the Rfam family "Bacterial small subunit ribosomal RNA", at positions 337 to 640 of the family's 1533-position model. The record is from RNAcentral.
CCCUACGGGGGGCAGCAGUGGGGAAUAUUGGUCAAUGGCCGAGAGGCUGAACCAGCCAAGUCGCGUGAGGGAAGAAUGUCCUAAGGAUUGUAAACCUCUUUUGUCGGGGAGCAAAAAGGCUCUGCGGAGUCGUAUUGAGAGUACCCGAAGAAAAAGCAUCGGCUAACUCCGUGCCAGCAGCCGCGGUAAUACGGAGGAUGCGAGCGUUAUCCGGAUUUAUUGGGUUUAAAGGGUGCGUAGGCGGUCCGUUAAGUCAGCGGUAAAAUUGCGGGGCUCAACCCCGUCGAGCCGUUGAAACGGGCAGG